Molecule: RNA transcript, 2331 nt
Organism: Oncorhynchus keta (chum salmon)
Lineage: Eukaryota; Metazoa; Chordata; Actinopteri; Salmoniformes; Salmonidae
Exons: 2
Source: RefSeq, a predicted model, not a curated record
CAAGUUAAUUAUGGUCUUUGUUAGGAAUAAAUGGACUUCACACAGUUUUCAACGAGCCAGGCGGCCCAAACUGCUGCAUAAACCCUGACUCUGCUUGCACGGAACACAAGAGAAGUGACACAAUUUCCCUAGUUCAAAUGAAAUUCAUGUUAGCAGGCAAUAUUAACUAAAUAUGCAGGUUUAAAAAUAUAUACUUGUGUAUUGAUUUUAAGGAAGGCAUUGAUAUUUAUGGUUAGGUAUACAUUGGUGCAACAACAGUGCUUUUUUCGAGAAUGCGCUUGUUAUAUCAUCACCCAUUUGGUGAAGUAGGCUAUGAUUCGAUGAUAAAUUAACAGGCACCGCAUCGAUUAUAUGCAACGCAGGACAAGCUAGAUAAACUAGUAAUAUCAUCAAUCAUGUGUAGUUAGCUAGUGACUGUGUUAAGAUUGAUUGUAUUUUAUAAGAUAAGUUUAAUGCUAGCGAUCAAUUUACCUUGGCUUCUUGCUGCAGUCACGUAACAGGUAGUCAGCCUGCCACGCAGUCUCCUCGUUGAGUGCAAUGUAAUCGGCCAUGAUCGGUGUCCAAAAAUGACGACCGCCGAUUGUUAUGAAAACUUGAAAUCGGUCCUAAUUAAUCGGCCAUUCCGAUUAAUCGGUCGACCUCUAUACAAAACCCUUAUACAUCUGAAAUGGCGAGGGUGAGAUUAAAGCUACUGUUAGCCUACAUGGACAGGGUGAGAUUAAUGCUACUGUUAGCCUACAUGGACAGGGUGAGAUUAAUGCUACUGGUAGCCUACAUGGACAGGGUGAGAUUAAUGCUACUGGUAGCCUACAUGGACAGGGUGAGAUUAAUGCUACUGGUAGCCUACAUGGACAGGGUGAGAUGAAUGCUACUGGUAGUCUCCAUGGACAGGGUGAGAUGAAUGCUACUGGUAGUCUACAUGGACAGGGUGAGAUUAAUGCUACUGGUAACCUACAUGGACAGGGUGAGAUUAAUGCUAAUGGUAGUCUACAUGGACAGGGUGAGAUUAAUGCUAAUGGUAGUCUACAUGGACAGGGUGAGAUGAAUGCUACUGGUAGUCUACAUGGACAGGGUGAGAUUAAUGCUGCUGGUAGCCUACAUGGACAGGGUGAGAUUAAUGCUGCUGGUAGUCUACCACGACAGGGUGAGAUUAAUGCUACUGGUAGCCUACAUGGACAGGGUGAGAUUAAUGCUACUGGUAGUCUACAUGGACAGGGUGAGAUUAAUGCUACUGUUAGCCUACAUGGACAAGGUGAGAUUAAUGCUACUGUUAGCCUACAUGGACAUGGUGAGAUUAAUGCUACUGUUAGCCUACAUGGACAAGGUGAGAUUAAUGCUACUGUUAGCCUACAUGGACAAGGUGAGAUUAAUGCUACUGGUAGCCUACAUGGACAAGGUGAGAUUAAUGCUACUGUUAGCCUACAUGGACAGGGUGAGAUUAAUGCUACUGGUAGUCUACAUGGACAGGGUGAGAUUAAUGCUACUGUUAGCCUACAUGGACAAGGUGAGAUUAAUGCUACUGUUAGCCUACAUGGACAGGGUGAGAUUAAUGCUACUGGUAGCCUACAUGGACAGGGUGAGAUUAAUGCUACUGUUAGCCUACAUGGACAGGCUUUAUCAGUGUGCUUGCAUCACCAACAUCUCUACUUGGUAGGCUGUAAAAUUCAGUCUAUUUGAAUGCCAAUGCAAAGUAUCAUUGGGAAGGCCUAUAAAAUGCACCUCAUGUUUUAGCAUGAUAAUACACAGCCUCAUGUCCCAAGGAUCUGUACACAAUUCCUGGAAGCUGAAACUGUGCCAGUUCUUCUAUGGCCUGCAUACUCACCAGACAUGUCACCUAUUGAGCAUGUUUGGGAUGCUCUGGAUGGACGUGUAUGACAGCGUGUUCCAAUUCCCGCCAAUGUGCAGCAACUUCGCACAGCCAAUGUAGAGGAGUGGGGCAACAUUCCACAGGCCACAAUCAACAGCCUGAGCAACUCUAUGUGAAGGAGAUGUGUCACGCUGCAUGAGGCAAAUGGUGGUCACACCAGAUACUGACUGGUUUUCUGAUCCACGACCCUUCUUUUUUCCCCCCAACAGAUUUAUAUCUGUAUUCCCAAUCAUGUGAAAUCCAUCAAUUAGGGCCUAAUUAAUUUAUCUCAAUUGACUGAUUUCCUUAUACUCACUAAAGUCUUUGUAAUUGUUGCAUGUUGCGUUUAUAUUUAUGUUCAGUAUAUAAAGACCAAUCCAAGGCUUUAAUGACCAUACUCAUUAGCAAUGUUGCGCAGAGAUAAUAGAUAUGACGGUGCAUAUUCAGUAAUGGCCGUGUUGUUGUCUCCAGUCUGAGUCCUACCU